UCUUCAUUACACACACUCUCUCACCGGUCAGAGUGACGAUAGAGUAUGUGAUAUGAAGAGA
RNAcentral lists this microRNA precursor (61 nucleotides) under Pristionchus pacificus. RNAcentral's name for it is "mir-8364 microRNA precursor family". It matches the Rfam family "mir-8364 microRNA precursor family". The record is from Rfam by way of RNAcentral. Lineage: Eukaryota; Metazoa; Nematoda; Chromadorea; Rhabditida; Neodiplogasteridae.